RNAcentral lists this ribosomal RNA (2395 nucleotides) under human gut metagenome. RNAcentral describes it as "bacterial LSU rRNA". It matches the Rfam family "Bacterial large subunit ribosomal RNA", at positions 497 to 2925 of the family's 2925-position model. The record is from RNAcentral.
AGUACUGUGAAGGAAAGGUGAAAAGGACCCCGGGAGGGGAGUGAAAGAGAACCUGAAACCUUGUGCUUACAAGCACUCAAAGCACGUUAAAGUGUGAUGAGGUACUUUUUGUAGAACGGUCCGGCGAGUUAUAGUAACGAGCAAGGUUAAGCAAUUCAGUUGCGAAGCCGCAGCGAGAGCGAGUCUGAAUAGGGCGCAUGAAGUUCGUUGCCAUAGACCCGAAACCGGGUGACCUACGCAUGAGCAGGUUGAAGUGGGGGUGAAACCCCAUGGAGGACCGAACCGACCCCCGUUGCAAUGGUGGCGGAUGACUUGUGGAUAGCGGAGAAAUUCCAAUCGAACUCGGAGAUAGCUGGUUCUCCCCGAAAUAGCUUUAGGGCUAGCGUUAGUUUAGAUUACCGGAGGUAAAGCACUGAAUGGGCUAGGGGCCGAUAAGGUUACUGAACCCUAUCAAACUCUGAAUGCCGGAUAAUUGAUGGAUAGCAGUCAGACAGUGUGAGAUAAGUUUCAUUGUCAAAAGGGAAACAGCCCAGACCUACAGCUAAGGUCCCAAAUGUAUGCUAAGUGGAAAACGAUGUGGAAUUGCGAAAACAACCAGGAUGUUGGCUCAGAAGCAGCCACACAUUAAAAGAGUGCGUAAUAGCUCACUGGUCGAGAGGUCCUGCGCCGAAAAUGUCCGGGGCUGAAACACGACACCGAAGCUCGGGAAUCAGAAAUGAUUGGUAGAGGAGCAUUGAAGACGGAACGAAGCCAUACCGAAAGGAGUGGUGGACUGUCUUGAAGAGAGAAUGCCGGAAUGAGUAGCGAGAUUGAAGUGAGAAUCUUCAAGGCCGAAUAUCUAAGGUUUCCAGGGUAAAGCUGAUCUGCCCUGGGUAAGUCGGGGCCUAAGGCGAGGUCGAAAGACGUAGCCGAUGGACAACAGGUUGAAAUUCCUGUACUGCGAUAUAUCAGAAAUGUGGGGACACAGAAGGAAAGUGUGAGCCGGGAAAGGAAAGACCGGUGCAAGCACAGGAGGAGGGAUACAGGCAAAUCCGUAUCCCAAUCCAAUGGUGUUACGCGGAGCGAACAAAAGUAGCGAAGCACACAGACCAUCUGUCGAGAAAAGCCGCUAUUGUGUAUACCGUACCCGUACCGUAAACCGACACAGGUGGAUGAGGAGAGAAUCCUAAGGCCGGCGGGAGAAGCAUUGUUAAGGAACUCGGCAAAAUGACCCCGUAACUUCGGGAGAAGGGGUGCCUGCGAGAGCAGGCCGCAGAGAAUAGGCUCAAGCAACUGUUUAGCAAAAACACAGGUCUAUGCGAAACCGAAAGGUGAGGUAUAUGGGCUGACGCCUGCCCGGUGCUGGAAGGUUAAGAGGAGAGGUUAGCGCAAGCGAAGCUUUGAAUUUAAGCCCCAGUAAACGGCGGCCGUAACUAUAACGGUCCUAAGGUAGCGAAAUUCCUUGUCAGGUAAGUUCUGACCCGCACGAAAGGCGUAAUGAUUUGUGCACUGUCUCGACAACACGCCCGGUGAAAUUGAAGAACCAGUGAAGAUACUGGUUACCCGCAACAGGACGGAAAGACCCCAUGGAGCUUUACUGCAGCCUGAUACUGGGAUUCGAUGAUAUAUGUACAGGAUAGGUGGGAGGCUAAGAAGCGAGAACGCUAGUUUUCGUGGAGCCGCCGGUGGGAUACCACUCUUAUGUCAUUGAAUUUCUAACCUGCAUCCGUAAUCCGGGUGAGGGACAAUGUCAGGCGGGCAGUUUGACUGGGGCGGUCGCCUCCUAAAAGGUAACGGAGGCGCUCGAAGGUCACCUCAGAAUGAUUGGAAACCAUUCAAAGAGUGUAAAGGCAAAAGGUGGCUUGACUGCGAGAGCGACGGCUCGAGCAGGUACGAAAGUAGGACUUAGUGAUCCGGUGGUAAUAAGUGGGAAUGCCAUCGCUCAACGGAUAAAAGCUACCCUGGGGAUAACAGGCUUAUCUCCCCCAAGAGUUCACAUCGACGGGGAGGUUUGGCACCUCGAUGUCGGCUCAUCGCAUCCUGGGGCUGAAGUAGGUCCCAAGGGUUGGGCUGUUCGCCCAUUAAAGCGGUACGCGAGCUGGGUUCAGAACGUCGUGAGACAGUUCGGUCCCUAUCCGUUGUGGGCGCAGGAAAUUUGAGAGGAGCUGUCCUUAGUACGAGAGGACCGGGAUGGACGUACCUCUGGUGUACCGGUUGCAGACCAACUGCACAGCCGGGUAGCUAUGUAUGGAACGGAUAAACGCUGAAGGCAUCUAAGCGUGAAGCCGCCCUCAAGAUAAGAUUUCCCAUUCUUCGGAAGUAAGAUCCCUUAAAGAUAAUGAGGUUGAUAGGUUGGAGGUGUAAGCAUGGUAACAUGUUCAGCUGACCAAUACUAAUAGAUCGAGGGCUUGACCAA